UUCUGUUUUAUUCCUGUUGAGGAUGGGAUGUCAUAAGAACUAGAGAGGCUUUCUACUUUCUAACCUACACCCUCUGAUUAGGUCCUUGAGGGACAAAUAUGUGGAUUUUCAAGGUUUUUCAAUGAUCUUCAAACCAGAGCUUGAAAAAGGCAGGUAGAAUAGGUCUUAGAAAGAUUUGGUGCCAGCACUAGCGGCCAUACCUUCGGGCCAAGUCUCUCCAAUCUCCGGGUAUAGUGGGAAUCAGGCAUGUAGGACGUGUGGUGAGAACAGAGGUGAAAUCCAAACCCUCCCCACCUGGGUCCUAAGACCACGAGAAACUGGGUAGCGAUACGGGGAUUAGAUACCCCCUUAUCCCCAGAAGGAAAAGGACUAGGAACGAUCCUUCCGAAAAUAAAACCUCAUGGCGGUUUACUAACCAUUUAGAGACGUAUGCCUAUUAAAGGACAAUCCACCUAGAUCUCUCUCCUUUCCUCUUCUAACACCGCCGUCUGAAGGAUAAAUCGAGGGAUUUGUUCCUAAGACUCGGGUCUUUCAUCUCAAGAACCCCCAGUCAUAAGUCAGGCAGACGUUAGGGAUGAAGGAGUUUAGGUGUACGUCAAUUGUAGCUAAUUCUCAUAAACCUGGAAGGGUUUGUUCGGAGAGAAUCUAAAAGUAACGCCCCUUCACCAGGGGGGUGUGAAUGCGAGGAAAUAGUCUAUGCUCAUAUCGCCCGUCAAUCAACUUGAGAAAGUUGAUAAGUCGUAACAAAGUUAAUCUACCGGAAGGUGGAUUAGGAAAACACAUACAAUUA
Molecule: ribosomal RNA, 790 nt
Filed under: Bovicola ovis (sheep biting louse)
Lineage: Eukaryota; Metazoa; Arthropoda; Insecta; Psocodea; Bovicoliidae
Description: 12S ribosomal RNA
Source: RNAcentral